AGCCUUAUUUGGUUCAUAAGUAUGAUUGUUGGAUGUUUUUGCUAUUGCAUACGUGCUUCCCACGAACCUUAUUAUGACGUGGGUGCAUUACCCAUGUGCUG
Meriones unguiculatus (Mongolian gerbil) is the source of this 101-nucleotide small nucleolar RNA. RefSeq annotates it as small nucleolar RNA U13. The record is from RefSeq and is a predicted model, not a curated record. NCBI's taxonomy places the organism in Eukaryota, Metazoa, Chordata, Mammalia, Rodentia, Muridae. The transcript has a single exon.